UUUUUUCAAAAAUUGAUAACUUCUUUAUUUGGAAUCACAAAAAUAUGGGACCAAUUGCAAAAAUUUUCUCUUAAAUUCUAGUUUCAUAAAAUGAUUUUUAAUUAUUUUUGUGAUUCCAUUUAAUAUUUUUUGUGAAUUAUUUCAUUUUUGAUUGUUNAAAUGAUUUUUAAUUAUUUUUGUGAUUCCAUUUAAUAUUUUUUGUGAAUUAUUUCAUUUUUGAUUGUUUUUAAUUCAUUUAAAAUACCAUUUGAUAUUCAAAAAUGCCAAAAAU
RNAcentral lists this long non-coding RNA (271 nucleotides) under Lathyrus oleraceus (garden pea). RNAcentral's name for it is "Pisum sativum (pea) long non-coding RNA (PSAT_LNC027678)". The record is from RNAcentral. Lineage: Eukaryota; Viridiplantae; Streptophyta; Magnoliopsida; Fabales; Fabaceae.